This 255-nucleotide ribosomal RNA is filed under the name Escherichia coli. RNAcentral's name for it is "partial 16S ribosomal RNA". It matches the Rfam family "Bacterial small subunit ribosomal RNA", at positions 329 to 576 of the family's 1533-position model. The record is from RNAcentral. Lineage: Bacteria; Pseudomonadati; Pseudomonadota; Gammaproteobacteria; Enterobacterales; Enterobacteriaceae.
GUCCAGACUCCUACGGGAGGCAGCAGUGGGGAAUAUUGCACAAUGGGCGCAAGCCUGAUGCAGCCAUGCCGCGUGUAUGAAGAAGGCCUUCGGGUUGUAAAGUACUUUCAGCGGGGAGGAAGGGAGUAAAGUUAAUACCUUUGCUCAUUGACGUUACCCGCAGAAGAAGCACCGGCUAACUCCGUGCCAGCAGCCGCGGUAAUACGGAGGGUGCAAGCGUUAAUCGGAAUUACUGGGCGUAAAGCGCACGCAGGC